UGGGGAAUCUUGGACAAUGGGCGCAAGCCUGAUCCAGCCAUGCCGCGUGAGUGAAGAAGGCCCUAGGGUCGUAAAGCUCUUUCAACUGUGAAGAUAAUGACGGUAGCAGUAGAAGAAACCCCGGCUAACUCCGUGCCAGCAGCCGCGGUAAUACGGAGGGGGUUAGCGUUGUUCGGAAUUACUGGGCGUAAAGCGUACGUAGGCGGAUUAGUCAGUCAGAGGUGAAAUCCCAGGGCUCAACCCUGGAACUGCCUUUGAUACUGCUAGUCUUGAGUUCGAGAGAGGUGAGUGGAAUUCCAAGUGUAGAGGUGAAAUUCGUAGAUAUUUGGAGGAACACCAGUGGCGAAGGCGGCUCACUGGCUCGAUACUGACGCUGAGGUACGAAAGUGUGGGUAGCAAACAGGAUUAGAUACCCCCGUAGUCC
RNAcentral lists this ribosomal RNA (424 nucleotides) under uncultured prokaryote. RNAcentral describes it as "bacterial SSU rRNA". It matches the Rfam family "Bacterial small subunit ribosomal RNA", at positions 355 to 796 of the family's 1533-position model. The record is from RNAcentral.